UACGGAGGGUGCAAGCGUUAUCCGGAUUUAUUGGGCUUAAAGGGUCCGUAGGCGGAUCUGCAAGUCAGUGGUGAAAUCUCACAGCUUAACUGUGAAACUGCCAUGGAUACUGAAGGUCUUGAGUAAGGUAGAAGUAGCUGGAAUAAGUAGUGUAGCGGUGAAAUGCAUAGAUAUUGCUUAGAACACCAAUUGCGAAGGCAGGUCACUAUGUCUUAACUGACGCUGAUGGACGAAAGCGUGGGGAGCGAACGGG
RNAcentral lists this ribosomal RNA (253 nucleotides) under uncultured bacterium. RNAcentral describes it as "partial 16S ribosomal RNA". It matches the Rfam family "Bacterial small subunit ribosomal RNA", at positions 524 to 776 of the family's 1533-position model. The record is from RNAcentral.